AACAUUCCUACAUCCUAUAUCAUAAAAUUCCUAUAUCCUAACAUUCCAACAUCCCAGUAUUUCAACAAUCCUACAUUUCAACCCCGCUACUGAGCGCAAACAACCCCCGUAACCCCACCAACAACCAAAACCCCAAACCCACUGAUUUCCCCACCAUUCCCAGGGGGGAAAAAAAAUCCUCACCACGAACUUCUCCCCGCUCUGCUCCACGUGUUUGUAGGUGGGGAUGGAGAUGGGCACCGCCUGCUUCUCGCUGUAGUCGUAGAAGGGCGNNNNNNNNNNNNNNNNNNNNNNNNNNNNNNNNNNNNNNNNNNNNNNNNNNNNNNNNNNNNNNNNNNNNNNNNNNNUCCACCACCUGCUUGAGCAUGGCUCCUUCCACGUUCACCCCGUUCUUGCAUGGAAAAAUAUCCCAAAUUCCCAUGGAGCAUUUCCACCACCUGCUGUGUGUGGCUCCCUCCACGUUCAUCCCAUUCUUGCAUGAAAAAAUAUCCCAAAUUCCCAUGGAGCAGAUCCACCACCUGCUUGUGUGUGGCUCCUUCCACGUUCACCCCGUUCCUAAAGGGAAAAAUAUCCCAAAUUCCCAUGGAGCAUUUCCACCACCUGCUUGUGUGUGGCGCCCUCCACAUUCACCCCGUUCCUAAAGGGAAAAAUAUCCCAAAUUCCCAUGGAGUUCCCAUGGAUCAGAUCCACCACCUGCUUGUGCGUGGCUCCUUCCACAUUCACCCCCGUUCCUAAAGGGAAAAAUAUCCCAAAUUCCCAUGGAGUUCCCAUGGAGCAUUUCCACCACCUGCUUGUGCGUGGAUCCCUCCACGUUCACCCUGUUCCUAAAGGGAAAAAUAUCCCAAAUUCCCACAGAGGAGAUCCACCACCUGUUUGUGUGUGGCUCCUUCCACAUACACCACGUUCCUAAAGGGAAAAAUAGCCCAAAUUGCCAUGGAGUUCCCAUGGAGCAGAUCCACCACCUGCUUGUGGUGCCCUCCACAUUCACCCCGUUCCUAAAGGGAAAAAUAGCCCAAAUUCCCACAGAGCAGAUCCACCACCUGCUUGUGUGUGGCUCCCUCCCCAUUCACCCCAUUCUUGCAUGAAAAAAUAUCCCAAAGUCCAUGGAGCAGAUCCACCACCUGCUUGUGCAUGGCUCCUUCCACGUUCACCCCGUUCCUAAAGGGAAAAAUAUACCAAAUUCCCACAGAGCAGAUCCCCCACCUGCUUGUGCGUGGCACCCUCCACGUUCACCCCAUUCCUAAAGGGAACUGAUCUCAAAUUCCCAUGGAGUUCUCAUGGAUCAGAUCCACCACCUGCUUGUGUGUGGCUCCUUCCACAUUCACCCCGUUCCUAAAGGGAAAAAUAUCCCAAAUUCCCAUGGACUUCCCAUGGAGCAUUUCCACCACCUGCUGUGUGUGGCGCCCUCCACGUUCAUCCCAUUCCUAAAGGCAAAAAUAUCCCAAAUUCCCAAUGAGUUUCCAUGGAUCAGAUUCACCACCUGCUUGUCCAUAGCCCCUUCCACGUUCAUCCCAUUCCUAAAGGGAAAAAUAUCCCAAAUUCCCACAGAGCAGAUCCACCACCUGCUUGUGCGUGGCUAAUUCCACGUUCACCCCAUUCUUGCAUGGAAAAAUAUCCCAUUGAAUUCCCAUGGAUCAGAUCCACCACCAGCUUGUGCAUGGCCCCUUCCACGUUCACCCCGUUCCUAAAGGGAAAAAUAUCCCAUUGAAUUCCCAUGGAGCAUUUCCACCACCUG
This 1735-nucleotide long non-coding RNA is filed under the name Zonotrichia albicollis (white-throated sparrow). RNAcentral describes it as "lncRNA (ENSZALG00000009268.1)". The record is from RNAcentral. Lineage: Eukaryota; Metazoa; Chordata; Aves; Passeriformes; Passerellidae.